UGGGGAAUUUUGGACAAUGGGGGAAACCCUGAUCCAGCCAUCCCGCGUGUGCGAUGAAGGCCUUCGGGUUGUAAAGCACUUUUGGCAGGAAAGAAACGUCAUGGGUUAAUACCCCGUGAAACUGACGGUACCUGCAGAAUAAGCACCGGCUAACUACGUGCCAGCAGCCGCGGUAAUACGUAGGGUGCAAGCGUUAAUCGGAAUUACUGGGCGUAAAGCGUGCGCAGGCGGUUCGGAAAGAAAGAUGCGAAAUCCCAGAGCUCAACUUUGGAACUGCAUUUUUAACUACCGGGCUAGGGUGGGUAAGAGGGAGGUGGAAUUCCGCGUGUAGCAGUGAAAUGCGUAGAUAUGCGGAGGAACACCGAUGGCGAAGGCAGCCUCCUGGGAUAACACUGACGCUCAUGCACGAAAGCGUGGGGAGCAAACAG
Molecule: ribosomal RNA, 428 nt
Filed under: Acidobacteriota bacterium
Lineage: Bacteria; Pseudomonadati; Acidobacteriota
Description: Acidobacteria bacterium partial 16S ribosomal RNA
Rfam family: Bacterial small subunit ribosomal RNA
Source: RNAcentral